Molecule: ribosomal RNA, 83 nt
Filed under: Cuscuta indecora var. attenuata
Lineage: Eukaryota; Viridiplantae; Streptophyta; Magnoliopsida; Solanales; Convolvulaceae
Description: partial 26S ribosomal RNA
Rfam family: Eukaryotic large subunit ribosomal RNA
Source: RNAcentral
GGGGCCCCAAGUCAAGCGGGACUACCCGCUGAGUUUAAGCAUAUCAAUAAGCGGAGGAGAAGAAACUUACUAGGAUUGCCUUA